GGGGUUGUGGCUCAGCAGUAGAGCGCUCGCCUCACAUCUGCGGGACCCUGGGUUCGAUCCUCAGCACCACA
Molecule: transfer RNA, 71 nt
Filed under: Marmota monax (woodchuck)
Lineage: Eukaryota; Metazoa; Chordata; Mammalia; Rodentia; Sciuridae
Description: tRNA.Val
Source: RNAcentral